CUAAUUAAAAGGGUCAAUUUUUGUAUCCUUGCAAACUAUUAGAAAUCAGAACCUAGUAUUUUUCUUGGAUCCUACAUAUUUCAGAGAGUUUAUACAAAAAUUCUCAUUAUUUUUGGAUCAUCACACAAUUUAAUACCCAAAUUCAAAUAUAAAACAAAAACUGCAUAAAAGAAAAAAAAACAAGACACUGCAGCGGGUGGCCGGAUUUCGGCCCGCAGGCCGGCCCGCUUCGGCUCGGCCCGCACGGACGCUGCGCACUCCGCCUCCUCUCCGCGCGGUCGCUGACAAGCGGGGCCUGCUCGUCAGCCCCCCCCUCCCUUCCUUCCA
Molecule: long non-coding RNA, 327 nt
Filed under: Sorghum bicolor (sorghum)
Lineage: Eukaryota; Viridiplantae; Streptophyta; Magnoliopsida; Poales; Poaceae
Description: long non-coding RNA (SBIC_LNC018537)
Source: RNAcentral